GACGAACGCUGGCGGCGCGCUUAACACAUGCAAGUCGAACGGAAAGGCCUGCUUUCCCUUGUGGAUUGCGGGUACUCGAGUGGCGAACGGGUGAGUAACACGUGAGUGAUCUGCCCCCAACUUGGGUAUAAGCCUGGGAAACUGGGUCUAAUUCCCGAUAGGACUGCAGGGUGGUGCCUGUGGUGGAAAACGAUUUUCUAGUGGUUGGGGAUGAGCUCGCGGCCUAUCAGCUUGUUGGUGGGGUAAUGGCCUACCAAGGCGGCGACGGGUAGCCGGCCUGAGAGGGUGGACGGCCACAUUGGGACUGAGAUACGGCCCAGACGCCUACGGGAGGCAGCAGUGGGGAAUAUUGCACAAUGGGCGGAAGCCUGAUGCAGCGACGCCGCGUGGGGGAUGACGGCCUUCGGGCUGUAAACUCCUUUCGACCGCGAGGAAGCCACCUGGUUGGAAGGGUGGUGACGGUAGUGGUAGAAGAAGCACCGGCUAACUACGUG
This 494-nucleotide ribosomal RNA is filed under the name uncultured bacterium. RNAcentral describes it as "partial 16S ribosomal RNA". It matches the Rfam family "Bacterial small subunit ribosomal RNA", at positions 28 to 507 of the family's 1533-position model. The record is from RNAcentral.